AAUAGACUACCCAGGUAGUCCCUGGCCGUAAACGAUGUCCACUAGAUCGAAGUGCCUCUGACGGUAUUUCGGUCGAAGCAAAAGUGCUAAGUGGACCGCCUGGGAAGUACGGUCGCAAGGCUAAAACGUCAAAGAAAUUGACGGGGGCUCACACAAGCGGUGGAGCAUGUGGUUUAAUUCGAUGCAACGCGAAGAACCUUACCUGCCCUUGACAUCCUCGGAACUUGGCAGAGAUGCCUUGGUGCCUUCGGGAACCGAGAGACAGGUGCUGCAUGGCUGUCGCCAGCUCGUGUCGUGAGAUGUUGGGUUAAGUCCCGCAACGAGCGCAACCCUUGUCCCUAGUUGCCAGCAUUCAGAUGGGAACUCUAGGGAGACCGCCGGUGACAAACCGGAGGAAGGUGGGGAUGACGUCAAGUCAUCAUGGCCCUUAUGGGCAGGGCUACACACGUGCUACAAUGGCCAGUACAGAGGGUUGCCGAACCCGCGAGGGGGAGCCAAUCCCAAAAAGCUGGUCGUAGUCCGGA
Molecule: ribosomal RNA, 524 nt
Filed under: uncultured bacterium
Lineage: Bacteria
Description: bacterial SSU rRNA
Rfam family: Bacterial small subunit ribosomal RNA
Source: RNAcentral